RNAcentral lists this long non-coding RNA (1314 nucleotides) under Anas platyrhynchos platyrhynchos (common mallard). RNAcentral describes it as "lncRNA (ENSAPLG00000025921.1)". Lineage: Eukaryota; Metazoa; Chordata; Aves; Anseriformes; Anatidae. The record is from RNAcentral.
AUAUAAAAAUGGCUGCUUUUUCUCAGACCUGUGGUCCACUGUGGCCAGAACAGCGUAAGUGCAUAUGCAUAUAAUAUUUCUUUUGGUAUAUCCUUCCAGCAAUCUAUUAUGUAGGAACUUAUGAGCCAAAGGGAACACAUUUGUUAAUGGCCCUUGAUGGAUUUUUCCUCUGUGAAUUUAUUGAGUUGAACAUAUGUAUGCUCAUGACUUCCACAGUAUAACGUAGGAAUGACUUCCACUGUUUAACAUGUUGUGUGAUGGAAAAAUGUCUCUGUUUUCAUACUUUUUCGCUUGCUGCUUAGCUGCCUCUUGACCUGAUGCCUGACCUGCCCUUGGAUGCCCAGGAUAUGAAAGAUUUCUGCCCGAGUCUGCCCUGGUCUCCUUUCUUCCACUCUGAGAUUUCCCACAUAGAUGCCGAAAAGAUUUUCUUCUUGUAACCUUGAACCCUUCCACAAGCCCAUCUCCAUGCCCACAUUAGUAAGCCUGAGCUUAUGGUCCAAUGGAUGGAUUUUGAACCAUCCCCAACACAUCCUCAGUCCUGCUCUUCCCAGUAAGCCCCGAGAGCACCGUCUCUGUGUUGUCCCUGCCAGUUUACAGACCUAAGGCACAGCCUUGGAGAGGGGAGCCCAGCAGGAGCAGAGCAGCAAGCCAAAAGCAAAAUCAUCCCCACGAUCUUACUGUCGGGCUUACUGCAUGAAGAAACCCAACACACAAACCAGGUAAGUAAGCAAAGCACAAACAUCACAGUGCCUCUUUUGUACUGCUCCACGUAUGAGCAGUGGCAGAGGUAAAAUACGUGACCCUGUGCUUUGUUUUCCUGUGCCACAGAAUUUAAGCAACAUAGAGAAAUGUGCCUGUGGUACAAAUAUAAGCUUUGUUUGUUUUGUUUUGUUUUUAAGGGAGUGACUUUAAUAACUUCAUAACAAUCAUGUUUAUAGUUUGAUGCAUUGGAGUAGGAUUGAUCCCAGCACUGGAUUUCCUGCUGGACAAGGAGGGCCCUCGUUCCUGGCUUUCUGUGCUUUAUAGCACCUGGGCUUCACUCUGCCUCCUUGACGGAAGGUGCCAGCUGCAGCUGGGAUUAAUGCAGCCUUGGCUAGCUGCUGGCAGAGCCUAUGAAUCCUCCUUGAAGGUCUCAUAUUGUGGAAUUUUUCUGUCUGCAACAUCAUGUCACCUGUACAGGACUUAAAACCCAAUGACACAGAAGUCUGAUUUGAUGUGGCAAAUCCUGCAUGGAGCUUGAUAUUGAGAAAUUAGUGGUGCUUAGGAUCUUAGGUCAGAAAUAAAGGUUGCAUUUUACAAUUGAAUGGUCCCUGA